RNAcentral lists this ribosomal RNA (83 nucleotides) under Ligula intestinalis. RNAcentral describes it as "partial 5.8S ribosomal RNA". It matches the Rfam family "5.8S ribosomal RNA", at positions 74 to 154 of the family's 154-position model. Rfam says of the family: 5.8S ribosomal RNA (5.8S rRNA) is a component of the large subunit of the eukaryotic ribosome. It is transcribed by RNA polymerase I as part of the 45S precursor that also contains 18S and 28S rRNA. Lineage: Eukaryota; Metazoa; Platyhelminthes; Cestoda; Diphyllobothriidea; Diphyllobothriidae. The record is from RNAcentral.
GCAGACUGCUUUGAACAUCGACCUCUUGAACGCACAUUGCGGCCGUAGGCUUGCCUACGGCCACGUCUGGCCGAGGGUCGGCU